Molecule: unclassified non-coding RNA, 311 nt
Filed under: uncultured fungus
Lineage: Eukaryota; Fungi
Description: partial contains small subunit ribosomal RNA, internal transcribed spacer 1, and 5.8S ribosomal RNA
Rfam family: Eukaryotic small subunit ribosomal RNA (bases 1-73)
Source: RNAcentral
GCAAACUUGGUCAUUUAGAGGAAGUAAAAGUCGUAACAAGGUUUCCGUAGGUGAACCUGCGGAAGGAUCAUUAACGAGUUAGGGUCUCCAAGGCCCGACCUCCCAACCCCAUGUUUACUUGACCACUGUUGCUUCGGCGGGCCCGUCUCGCGACCGCCGGGGGGCCUUUGACAGGUCUCCUGGCCCGCGCCCGCCGAGAGCCUCAACCAAAACUCUUUUAAAACGUGUCUAUGUCUGAAUUACAAGUCUUAAAUAAAAGCAAAACUUUCAACAACGGAUCUCUUGGUUCUGGCAUCGAUGAAGAACGCAGC